UGCAGCGACACGCCCCGGUCCUGCUCACCUCCUGCACUCGCAGGGGUGUCCGCAGGGUGCCCGUGGGGCGGCAGAAGAAAACACCCAUGCUCUGGGGCGGGGGCAACCUGAACCAGGGGUUGGCUUCCUUCCCCCUGAGCGCUCAGGGGAACCACUGGGUCCCUGGGUUUUGAGUCAGUCAGUCACACGGGGAGCAGGCGGGUGCAUUGAGAAUUGACUGCCAGGACCUUGGGGUUUCCGAGCGGACCGUCCUGGAAGCUGCUUGAAGGACCUUGAUGUAGAAAACCCCGCCCCCUCUCCUGGGACGACUUCAGCAUUUGGAGGGGUUUCUGCCAAGCAACUUGCAGUCGGGUCCAGGCCUUGGACUUCACAUCAGGUUCAAGCCCCCCUUGGAGAGGUGCCGUGUGGAUCAAGCCAGAAGGAAGAGACUGGUGCUUCUGAACGGAGCUGUUACCACUGGUGUCUGUUAGUCAUGUGAUCAUCAUUAAUAAGUAACACUGGUUCAGUACUUACUACCUGGAAGGUGCACUUUUAAAUACUUCCUGUAUCACCUCAUCUAACCCUUACAACAAUCCUGCGGGCUUGGGCACUUUUAUUACCAUUUUUCAGCAGUCCCUGGUUUCCAUAUGGUGCAACAGAGAAAGACUUCCACAACUGAAAAGGCAACAAGGAAACCCUCAGGCAGUGUGAGAUCAUUUCCUAUGAGACCAGAAAUCAGCGUGAAGAUGUCACACCAACCUUAUUUUUUUUCUCAAGAGGAAUCUUAAAGAACUGCUCCUCUGCAAUUUUUACUUUUUAUAAAAAGAAAACAAACACAUGUAACAUUCACUGCAAUUUCAUUUCUUUUUCAUGUCUUAAUUUAAAAUAAAACUUAGUUUACUAAAAAGUAA
Long non-coding RNA from Marmota monax (woodchuck), 890 nucleotides. RefSeq lists it as uncharacterized. Lineage: Eukaryota; Metazoa; Chordata; Mammalia; Rodentia; Sciuridae. The transcript has 2 exons. The record is from RefSeq and is a predicted model, not a curated record.